RNAcentral lists this ribosomal RNA (330 nucleotides) under uncultured delta proteobacterium. RNAcentral's name for it is "bacterial SSU rRNA". It matches the Rfam family "Bacterial small subunit ribosomal RNA", at positions 1063 to 1393 of the family's 1533-position model. The record is from RNAcentral. Lineage: Bacteria; Deltaproteobacteria.
UGCCGUGAGGUGUUGGGUUAAGUCCCGCAACGAGCGCAACCCCUAUCCUUAGUUGCCACCAGGUAAUGCUGAGCACUCUAGGGAGACUGCCCGGGUUAACCGGGAGGAAGGUGGGGACGACGUCAAGUCAUCAUGGCCCUUACGCCUGGGGCUACACACGUACUACAAUGGUGCAUACAAAGGGUUGCGAUACCGUGAGGUGGAGCUAAUCCCAUAAAGUGCAUCCCAGUCCGGAUAGGAGUCUGCAACUCGACUCCUUGAAGUCGGAAUCGCUAGUAAUCCCGGAUCAGCAUGCCGGGUGAAUGCGUUCCCGGGCCUUGUACACACCGC